UGAAUAGGGCGCAUGAGUACGUGGUCGUAGACCCGAAACCAGGUGAUCUACCCAUGUCCAGGGUGAAGUUCAGGUAACACUGAAUGGAGGCCCGAACCCACGCACGUUGAAAAGUGCGGGGAUGAGGUGUGGGUAGGGGUGAAAUGCCAAUCGAACCUGGAGAUAGCUGGUUCUCUCCGAAAUAGCUUUAGGGCUAGCCUCAAGGUAAGAGUCUUGGAGGUAGAGCACUGAUUGGACUAGGGGCCCCUACCGGGUUACCGAAUUCAGUCAAACUCCGAAUGCCAAUGACUUAUCCUUGGGAGUCAGACUGCGAGUGAUAAGAUCCGUAGUCGAAAGGGAAACAGCCCAGACCGCCAGCUAAGGUCCCAAAGUAUACGUUAAGUGGAAAAGGAUGUGGAGUUGCUUAGAC
This 409-nucleotide ribosomal RNA is filed under the name Enterococcus faecalis. Its description in RNAcentral is "partial 23S ribosomal RNA". It matches the Rfam family "Bacterial large subunit ribosomal RNA", at positions 684 to 1090 of the family's 2925-position model. Lineage: Bacteria; Bacillati; Bacillota; Bacilli; Lactobacillales; Enterococcaceae. The record is from RNAcentral.